UACGUAGGGUGCGAGCGUUGUCCGGAAUUAUUGGGCGUAAAGAGCUCGUAGGCGGUGUGUCACGUCGGCCGUGAAAACCUGCAGCUUAACUGUGGGCGUGCGGUCGAUACGGGCAUCACUGGAGUUCGGCAGGGGAGACUGGAAUUCCGUGGUGAUAGCGGUGAAAUGCGCAGAUAUCAGGAGGAACACCGGUGGCGAAGGCGGGUCUCUGGGCCAUUACUGACGCUGAGGAGCGAAAGCGUGGGGAGCGAACAGG
RNAcentral lists this ribosomal RNA (256 nucleotides) under uncultured bacterium. RNAcentral's name for it is "partial 16S ribosomal RNA". It matches the Rfam family "Bacterial small subunit ribosomal RNA", at positions 524 to 776 of the family's 1533-position model. The record is from RNAcentral.